Molecule: long non-coding RNA, 459 nt
Organism: Daphnia pulicaria
Lineage: Eukaryota; Metazoa; Arthropoda; Branchiopoda; Diplostraca; Daphniidae
Exons: 5
Source: RefSeq, a predicted model, not a curated record
CGAGAGGGAAGAGGAUAAAAGAACGGAAAGAAGAUAGAGAAGAUAGGCCUCAUUCGGGCAAGCUUGAUCGUGAGGAUAAAUGUAUGGAGCGUGACAGAGAAGACCGCAAGGAACGACGUAAUAUCCAAGAAACCGAGGAAGAACCUCGUGAAAGGAAAGGCGAGCGUAAAAGGGUAGACAAAGAUCGGGUGCCAGAGGAUAUUUGAUGGAUGUCAAACGUCGAAAGGAGGACGAACGAGAAAAAGUAAGAUCCCCCAAGGCAUGGAAACGGAAGUCCCCCUGAUGGAAACGCUGAUAGACGAGGACACAACAGACUCUCUCGCUCUCGUAGCGCACCUCGCUUUCACGAGAAGCAUUGGAUCGCUCAUUUCACCCGCGCAGAUAGAACAGAACGAGCUCCUUAUUAGAUUAUUAGAUUAUUAUUAUCCUUAUUAUUAUUAUUAGAUAAUAUUCCUUCAA